ACGAACGCUGGCGGCGUGCUUAACACAUGCAAGUGGAGCGACGAACCAGGCUUUGCCUGGGGCUAAGCCGCGAACGGGUGAGUAACACGUGGGUAACCUGCCCCAAAGAUUGGGACAACUUGAGGAAACUCGAGCUAAUACCGAAUGUGAUCUCCAUUCACAAGAUUGGCGAUUAAAGGAAGCUUCGGCCUCCGCAUUGGGAUGGGCCCGCGGACCAUUAGCCAGUUGGUGGGGUAAUGGCCUACCAAAGCAACAAUGGAUAGCUGGUCCGAGAGGACGAUCAGCCACACUGGGACUGAGAUACGGCCCAGACUCCUACGGGAGGCAGCAGUGGGGAAUCUUGCGCAAUGCGCGACAGCGUGACGCAGCAACGCCGCGUGAGGGAAGAAGGCCUUCGGGUUGUAAACCUCUUUCAGUUGGGACGAAGCUUCGGCUGUGAAUAGCAGAUCGGAGUGACGGUACCUACAGAAGAAGCCCCGGCUAACUACGUG
RNAcentral lists this ribosomal RNA (491 nucleotides) under uncultured bacterium. Its description in RNAcentral is "bacterial SSU rRNA". It matches the Rfam family "Bacterial small subunit ribosomal RNA", at positions 29 to 507 of the family's 1533-position model. The record is from RNAcentral.